UACGUAGGGUGCAAGCGUUGUCCGGAAUUAUUGGGCGUAAAGAGCUCGUAGGCGGUCUGUCGCGUCGGCUGUGAAAUCCCGAGGCUCAACCUCGGGUCUGCAGUCGAUACGGGCAAACUGGAGUGAUGCAGGGGAGACUGGAAUUCCUGGUGUAGCGGUGAAAUGCGCAGAUAUCAGGAGGAACACCGGUGGCGAAGGCGGGUCUCUGGGCAACAACUGACGCUGAGGAGCGAAAGCGUGGGGGUCAAACAGG
RNAcentral lists this ribosomal RNA (253 nucleotides) under uncultured bacterium. Its description in RNAcentral is "partial 16S ribosomal RNA". It matches the Rfam family "Bacterial small subunit ribosomal RNA", at positions 524 to 776 of the family's 1533-position model. The record is from RNAcentral.